Long non-coding RNA from Canis lupus familiaris (dog), 431 nucleotides. RefSeq lists it as uncharacterized. Lineage: Eukaryota; Metazoa; Chordata; Mammalia; Carnivora; Canidae. The record is from RefSeq and is a predicted model, not a curated record. The transcript is spliced from 4 exons.
CCCCAGGGUUCCACUGCUGCCUGGCGCUACUCUGCAUUCCCAGGCAGUGGGAGGCACUCGUGCCUGGAUCUGGCUCACAGCCCCCGAACAAGCCCACUCUCCCCAGUACCCCAAUGCAUAAAGUGUAGGUGCUCACACAGCGACAAGUCGCAGAAAUCUUCAGUCUGCCCCAAGCCCGCAGGAACACUCACUGGAAGGCCCAUCCACCGCCAUCUCGGUGCCACCCCUGAGUUGGGAGACGUCACCCCAAGCAUCAGCUGUGAUAAUUUCUGGACCAUAAAGAACGCUUCUAAACCAACAGCACUGCCAUCCGGUUAUCUGCUCAUCUUGUGGCUCUGGCCACAGCAGACCCAAAGUCCUACCUUUGAUGGACCUAGAGAGAGAGAGAGAGGCAGAGGAGGAGGGAGAAGCAGGCUCCACGCUGGGAGCCC